CGUAGGGAGCAAGCGUUGUUCGGAUUUACUGGGCGUAAAGGGCGCGUAGGCGGCAUAUUAAGUCAGCUGUGAAAUCUCCGAGCUUAACUCGGAACUGUCAGCUGAUACUGAUGUGCUCGAGUGCGGAAGGGGCAAUCGGAAUUCUUGGUGUAGCGGUGAAAUGCGUAGAUAUCAAGAGGAACACCUGAGGUGAAGACGGGUUGCUGGGCCGACACUGACGCUGACAGCGCGAAAGCCAGGGGAGCAAACGGGAUUAGAUACCCCGGUAGUCCUGGCCUUAAACGAUGAAUACUUGGUGUCUGGAGUCUCAAUAGCUCCGGGUGCCGUCGCUAACGUUUUUAGUAUUCCGCCUGGGGAGUACGCACGCAAGUGUG
Molecule: ribosomal RNA, 374 nt
Filed under: uncultured organism
Description: bacterial SSU rRNA
Rfam family: Bacterial small subunit ribosomal RNA
Source: RNAcentral